CCUACGGGAGGCAGCAGUGGGGAAUUUUGGACAAUGGGCGAAAGCCUGAUCCAGCCAUUCCGCGUGAGUGAAGAAGGCCUUCGGGUUGUAAAGCUCUUUCGCAAGGGAAGAAAACUUAGUCUCUAACAUAGACUGAGGUUGACGGUACCUUGAUAAGAAGCACCGGCUAACUACGUGCCAGCAGCCGCGGUAAUACGUAGGGUGCGAGCGUUAAUCGGAAUUACUGGGCGUAAAGCGUGCGCAGGCGGUUUUGUAAGUCAGAUGUGAAAUCCCCGAGCUCAACUUGGGAACUGCGUUUGAAACUACAAGACUAGAAUAUGUCAGAGGGGGGUAGAAUUCCACGUGUAGCAGUGAAAUGCGUAGAGAUGUGGAGGAAUACCAAUGGCGAAGGCAGCCCCCUGGGAUAAUAUUGACGCUCAUGCACGAAAGCGUGGGGAGCAAACAGGAUUAGAUACCCUGGUAGUCCACGCCCUAAACGAUGUCUACUAGUUGUUGGUGGAGUAAAAUCCAUGAGUAACGCAGCUAACGCGUGAAGUAGACCGCCUGGGGAUACGGUCGCAAGNUAAACUAAUGAAUUGACG
RNAcentral lists this ribosomal RNA (581 nucleotides) under uncultured bacterium. RNAcentral describes it as "bacterial SSU rRNA". It matches the Rfam family "Bacterial small subunit ribosomal RNA", at positions 338 to 915 of the family's 1533-position model. The record is from RNAcentral.